UUAAAUUAUCCUACAACGGUACAUGUUUGAGUACACAUAGCCUACGGAAAGUAAAAAAAAAUCUACAUAAUUCAUCAGUGACAAAAUUAGAAACAGUUUCCUUGUACAUUUAAGUUGCCGCAAGCUGUAUCUGAAAGUCGCCAUAUUCCACAUUUAUGUGUUUAACAUUUUUUUUAAAUCAGCGAAUUUUAUACAAUGGAGCAGAGCAAUUUGCAAAUGGCUUUACGGUUAGCUGACAACUCUGAUACACAGCCGGCUUUACAAUUAGCUUCCAACCCUGACUCACAAUAUGAUCUACAGUCAGCUACGAACCCUAUGCCACAAGAUUCUCAGCAGACUCUUAUCACAGAGCCCAGAGUUGACACUGUAGCCUCAACCGAGCCAAAAAACGAUCUACUGUCUCUACCUAAUUUGAGUUCCAGUGUGGCCUGUUCAAGUCAUGAAGAUUACUUUCAAUGUAGCGAUGUCUUCUCUUGCUGUUGUUACCGAGGACUUCGCUGCUGUCAAGUCCAGGAAACGGAAGAGUUUUGUUGUGAUCUUUGUGCCUGCCUCUGCUGUUUGAUAGUAGACUGCAGCAAUUGCUGAGAGAAUAUACCACAGAAGUGAGACAAGUAAGCAAAAACAUU
This is a long non-coding RNA of Biomphalaria glabrata, 626 nucleotides long. RefSeq lists it as uncharacterized. The record is from RefSeq and is a predicted model, not a curated record. The transcript is spliced from 3 exons. NCBI's taxonomy places the organism in Eukaryota, Metazoa, Mollusca, Gastropoda, Planorbidae.